GAAGAAACAACUGAAAGGAACUGGGACGGAGUGAAUUAAAUUAGGGAAAUGAAGAGGGACUAAAGAGCUGCAGAUCUGUUGCUCAUCUGAAGAGGCAUAAAUUGCUGUGUGACCCUAUUUUCCGGUAGAUGGGGAAUUUAACAAUCAGAUGACAUUUAAUAGCAAAUGGAUACUUGCUAUUGUCUCAACAAAGCACCAGGUGGAAUGAAGUGCUUCAGUGAAGAAACUGCAUGGCGAGAAAAGGGGAGAUCAAUAAGAGAAAUGCCUGGUAGCAUCUGA
Molecule: long non-coding RNA, 279 nt
Organism: Pan paniscus (pygmy chimpanzee)
Lineage: Eukaryota; Metazoa; Chordata; Mammalia; Primates; Hominidae
Source: Ensembl